UUUUUUUUUCAGGAGACGUAGAAAAACAAAAUAAUUUAGUUUUGGUAAUUAUUAUUGUGAAAUGUUUUGUUUUUAACAACUCUUUUAAUUAAACUAUGUAAAAUAGAAGCUCAGCAAUGGCUUCUCAUUUGGAUCCUCAACUUGAGGAUAGAAUACUGCAUGAAGUAAAGUCACAAGGUGUUUUCGAUGAGUUUCGCAAAGAUUCAAUGGCAGACGUGGACACCAAGCCUGCUUAUCAAAAUCUCCGACAGCGUGUUGAGAGUACAGUGAAGAAGUUUCUAUCCGAACAACAAUGGACACCCGAUAUGAAUAAAAAUCAACUUCGUGAGAAAUUGCGUAGACAUAUUACAGAAUCAGGUUUUUUGGAUGUAGGCGUUGAACGUAUAGUCGAUCAAGUAGUGAAUCCGAAAAUAGGCACAGUUUUUCAACCGCGCAUUGAAGAAAUCACUUACAAAUAUUUAGGGCUACCGCCACCUGUCAAACACGAACCGCCUCCACCUAUCAUGCAUCCACUACCGCCAUUGCCGCUGACUGGACCGCCUUUGAAAAUAGAAACCAGCAGUCUUUUACCAACUGGACUUGAACAAGUGAGUCCUGAUUCCGAUAAAGCGACAGUAAAGUCGGAAUGUCACGGCGACGACCCCUCUGUUAUGGAUAUGGACGUUGAUGUUGAUGAUAAAUUGGGAGACGAGGAUGACGAAUCUCCACCUUUCGAACCGCUUGUGAAAUGUGUUGAACCAAAUACAACUAUAAAAUCGGAAAAUAUUAAAAAUGAUGAUGAAGUUGAUUUGAAACCCCAAUUGAAAACCGUAAAGUUGGAAGCAAUAUCAAGCGAAAGUGCGGUCAAAGUUGAAACCAGCAAUCAACCAGAUUCAGAAACACAGGACACCUCCGUAUCGGCAAAUUCAACAGAUCCCGAAAUUGCAAAAAAUGCAACCAUAUCGUUCGGAACAGAAGCUGUCUUAUCACAAGAUUCACAACUAUCACAAGUCUCGAGUGACAGUAACAUCUCUGACGUGACAGCGAAUGCUUCACACAGUUUUAUGGAUAAUUCCAGUACACACAACAACACGCCGCAAACAAUUUCCGAUCAAACUGCGGCAGCAAUUGAACUGGCUUCGGCGAAUAUAUCCGAGGAGGCGCAAAUGCCAAAAUUCAGUGAGAAUUCAUCGGAAAUGUUUGGUGCGAAGUCAACACCAUCAGAGCUACAUUUCGAUAUUAAAAAAGACGAGAUUAAAUUCGAAGGUACUGAGCGAAAAGCGAACUUGUUGGAACAAGAAGGCGAAUGCAAUUCUGUGCCUUGUGAUGGUAUUUCACAAAGAGAAUUGAAUAAUAUAAGUGAAAAUAUAGAAAGUAAGGAGGCACCACAUCACUUCGGCAAUUUGACAAUCGACACAGACGUGGAGCGAAUGCAACCCACGGGUGUCAACACACCGGCAGCAACACCAACGCCCACACCUCAUGAGAGUAGCUUCGGUUCUUCAUUAGAAGAUACGAGUAUACAACAAUACAAAGAGGAUGGUGAAGUUGAAUCGAAAACUGAAUCUAUGAAUGUAAGAGAUGCGGUCUUCUCAACACCGAUACCAGAGCAGCGCGAUAAAAAAGAAACAAGCACCUCACGAAAUCACGGCUCCUCGUCAUCAUCUUCGCGACACAAGAAACAUUCGAAAGACAAACGGCAUUCGCAUAGCUCAAAAGACAAGUAUAAAGAUCGCGAUCGUAGCAAAAAUAGAAGCCACGAUAAGGAUAGGAGUAGUGUACGAGAUAGAAGUAGCGAUAAGAGUAGACAUAGAGAGAAGGACAAGCAUAGAGAUAAGGGUAGUAGCCACAAGGAGAAGGAUCGAAGCAAGGAUAGGUCACGCACGCAUGACAAAAGUACAAAGAGUAAGAACGAUGGUACAGAACGUAGUAGCAGCUCUAAACGUUCCAGCUCCUCCACAGCACGUUCACAUGAUACUAGUUCGAGCAAUAAGAACGAAAAGAACGUAACGACGAAACACUCAAACUCUUUCACAUCAUCUUCAAGUUCGUCUAGCCGUUCUGAAAGUCACGACGCGAAGCGUGAGAAACGUGAAACGGAAAAGAAACAUCAUCGCAGCACUUCAAGCGCCAGCGCUAGUGAGAAAAAGGAUGCUGGGAAGGCAGAGCUGCCCAAAAGUGAAGGGCCCACUGACGAUCACAGUAGUGAGAAGACUAAUAAAGUGCGGCGCCACAAGUCGACCGAUUCGAAUGACGAAGACGAAGGUGCUAGUGGUGCUAGUCGUAAAAAUGGUGGCAGCGAGCGUGAAAAAGCUAGUCAAAAUACCACAUGGACCAACAGCGAUAAACAGCAAAGUCAAAGUAAAGAUACGAAGAACUCUGCGCAAAGUCCAAAAGGUAGAUCAAAAAGUGACCACGACCAAGAGAAACCCACUGCAGCGUCGAAUAUGAUAACCGAAGAUGUUAGUACAAACGCUUUGGCGACACAACCACACGGCAAUAAAGUCGUUAUUUUAAGCGAUAUGCUCGAAAAUCCCAACAUCAAUUUCAUUGAUCUGGGACCAUCAUCCGCCACAUACACACACACCUCCGAUAUGGUUGUGAAAGAUUGUCAAAAAGACACCACAACAACAACCAAAAGCGCCGCUACAGCAGCGGUGCAGAAUACUCAAACCUCAAGCGAACACACACACAAAGUGGAGGAAGAGCACCAACUUCUUUUCUUCGAGGAAGUUGGUGAACAGUUUUCAAAUCGAUUGCGUCUCUUAGACAACGCAAUGGAUCGCUGUCGACGUGUGGUCAACAAUCUGCGUUUCGAUUGUGCCACCGAGUUGUGUGACACUUACGAAACCGGAGAAGAGCAGCCAAAUGCAGGCGCGGCAGAAGGCGUUGAAAGGCCACAAACUACUACAGCUACGCUCACAAUCGAUUGUGUUGUACCCACUGCCUUUGCAGCAGCGCCAGAAUACUACAAUAGCGGCGAAAGGCGUGAAGGCAGUCCAGUCGGCAGCACAUACGAUGGCGUUUACGAUUUGCAUGGGAAACGUAAACGCAAUAAUGCCGGUGCGCUUGUACAAAGUAAAUCCUCACCCACACCGUCCGAUGCGAGCGUGAAUUCCAAAGAGAAUAUGGCGCUGGACAAAAAUGCCGAUAUGCAUACAAAUUAAAUCAAAGCCAUAAGCAAAACGCAAUAUGCAGCGCGUAUACGUAAUAGUUACCCGUAAAAAUGUAGCGUCUACGCGUAACGCAUGACAUAAUAACAUAAUCAUAGCAGAGUACAUUAAAAAAUAAAAUGUAAAAAUGCAAAAAUAUCAAUCAAUCAAAUCAAAAACCAAAAACAAAAACAAAAACAAAAAUGUAUAUCCUUCCAACCAUGUGCUGGAUGAGGUGAAAUGCGUUCGUCGCAUUGCGUCUGUAAAUAAAUUGAGUCAACAGCGCUAUAACAGCGAGGAUCUGUACAAACCGCGACCCAUUUUGAGUCAACGUUCACGUCGUCGAGGUAUGGAUACCAUAAUCUAGUUG
RNA transcript from Zeugodacus cucurbitae (melon fly), 3501 nucleotides. It is a transcript of the gene named biorientation of chromosomes in cell division protein 1-like 1, with no coding region annotated. NCBI's taxonomy places the organism in Eukaryota, Metazoa, Arthropoda, Insecta, Diptera, Tephritidae. The transcript is spliced from 6 exons. The record is from RefSeq and is a predicted model, not a curated record.